Molecule: ribosomal RNA, 253 nt
Filed under: uncultured bacterium
Lineage: Bacteria
Description: partial 16S ribosomal RNA
Rfam family: Bacterial small subunit ribosomal RNA
Source: RNAcentral
UACGAAGGGGGCUAGCGUUGCUCGGAAUUACUGGGCGUAAAGCGCACGUAGGCGGUCUUUUAAGUCGGGUGUGAAAUCCUGGAGCUCAACUCCAGAACUGCCUUCGAUACUGGAAGACUUGAGUCCGGGAGAGGUGAGUGGAACUGCGAGUGUAGAGGUGAAAUUCGUAGAUAUUCGCAAGAACACCAGUGGCGAAGGCGGCUCACUGGCCCGGUACUGACGCUGAGGUGCGAAAGCGUGGGGAGCAAACAGG